UACGGAGGGAGCUAGCGUUGUUCGGAAUUACUGGGCGUAAAGCGCACGUAGGCGGCUUUGUAAGUUAGAGGUGAAAGCCCGGAGCUCAACUCCGGAACUGCCUUUAAGACUGCAUCGCUUGAAUCAGGAGAGGUGAGUGGAAUUCCGAGUGUAGAGGUGAAAUUCGUAGAUAUUCGGAAGAACACCAGUGGCGAAGGCGGCUCACUGGACUGGUAUUGACGCUGAGGUGCGAAA
This 234-nucleotide ribosomal RNA is filed under the name uncultured bacterium. RNAcentral's name for it is "partial 16S ribosomal RNA". It matches the Rfam family "Bacterial small subunit ribosomal RNA", at positions 524 to 758 of the family's 1533-position model. The record is from RNAcentral.